GAUGAACGCUGGCGGCGUGCCUAAUACAUGCCAGUCGAGCGAACGGACGAGAAGCUUGCUUCUCUGAUGUUAGCGGCGGACGGGUGAGUAACACGUGGAUAACCUACCUAUAAGACUGGGAUAACUUCGGGAAACCGGAGCUAAUACCGGAUAAUAUUUUGAACCGCAUGGUUCAAAAGUGAAAGACGGUCUUGCUGUCACUUAUAGAUGGAUCCGCGCUGCAUUAGCUGGUUGGUAAGGUAACGGCUUACCAAGGCAACGAUGCAUAGCCGACCUGAGAGGGUGAUCGGCCACACUGGAACUGAGACACGGUCCAGACUCCUACGGGAGGCAGCAGUAGGGAAUCUUCCGCAAUGGGCGAAAGCCUGACGGAGCAACGCCGCGUGAGUGAUGAAGGUCUUCGGAUAGUAAAACUCUGUUAUUAGGGAAGAACAUAUGUGUAAGUAACUGUGCACAUCUUGACGGUACCUGAUCAGAAAGCCACGGCUAACUACGUG
This 497-nucleotide ribosomal RNA is filed under the name uncultured bacterium. Its description in RNAcentral is "partial 16S ribosomal RNA". It matches the Rfam family "Bacterial small subunit ribosomal RNA", at positions 28 to 507 of the family's 1533-position model. The record is from RNAcentral.